This 570-nucleotide long non-coding RNA is filed under the name Rhopalosiphum maidis (corn leaf aphid). RNAcentral's name for it is "uncharacterized LOC113549906". The record is from RNAcentral. Lineage: Eukaryota; Metazoa; Arthropoda; Insecta; Hemiptera; Aphididae.
CGCUCCCUAAUCAUAACCUAAAGAUUUUUCAAAAAUUAUUGGAUUAUUUUGUAAAGACAUUUGAUAAAAUAUAUGGAAGCUUCAAUUUUUCUUAGAACAUACUACAUUGAAGUACUUUUCUUAAUUUGAAAACAUCAUCUUCCGCUUCGAAUCAAGGUCUUACGCUUAAUAACCGUAAAACUAGUAUUGAACUUACAAUGUCAUUAGCUGAGUUUCAAAAAUGUGUAUUGAACACAUUGUCUACUAUGAAAUAUGACAUAAAUUGUUGUGUACUCACUAAUCAACAAAUUAAUGCUAACAUGAAUGCAUUGCUGGAAAAUUUAAACAAAAAUGCAGUAAUAUCAGAUGAUGGUUUUAAUGAUUAUGACUUAAAUGAUAUACUUCCAAUCGAAAAUCAUGAAUCCCUACAAGAAUUUGAAUUCAAGCUCCAAAAAAAAAAAAAAUGAAAAUAAUUUUAAAUCUAUUAUAGUACACAAAUUGUCAUUGCUUGUUAUUAAUAAGUGUAGGUGACUCAGUGAAGCGUUUAUUGUCCACAAUGUUUGAUGAUAAAGUUCUUGAAAGUUACUCAAC